RNAcentral lists this unclassified non-coding RNA (579 nucleotides) under Hevea brasiliensis (rubber tree). The record is from RNAcentral. Lineage: Eukaryota; Viridiplantae; Streptophyta; Magnoliopsida; Malpighiales; Euphorbiaceae.
AAAAAAAAAAAGGUUUAGAUAAGAUAGGGAUUUUAGAUGAGAGGAAAUUCACAUAUAAGUAAAAAGCUUUGAUACCAUAUGAAGAAAGUGAUUUUUCCCAUUAUCUUUUAGGGCAUUACUAAUGUAUAUUUAUAAUGAAGAAUCCAAGAUUUACACAUGCUAGUAAGAUAGGUUCGGUAUACCAUGUACAGAUAUACAGGUUGUCUAGUUGAAUUACAAUUGUAUUCUAUCACAGAGUUAUAGGGAGACGCAAUCCCAGAUUAAAAACUAAGCAAUUAUAAGACAUUGGCUUCCACUUAUAAAACAAGAGGUUGCCCUCCUCAAAUGAUGUAAGUUUGAUGCAUUCAUAAGAUAAGGGCCAGGAAAGUUGUAAUCUUUAAUUGUGUUUUAUUUGCUAAUUAUUUCAUCAAUAUCUAUGAGAGGAAUAAUAAACAUUUAGUUAAAAUUAAGUGAUAUUGUCACAUAUAUUCAUGUUUAUUUGUUGAUUGUCUUACUGUUCGUGAAUUUGCAAUUAAGGGAAAAGGUAAUUUCAUACUAAGAGAUAAAGCAUAUUUACCAUUACAGCAUCAAGUAGAGCAG